RNAcentral lists this ribosomal RNA (433 nucleotides) under uncultured bacterium. RNAcentral's name for it is "partial 16S ribosomal RNA". It matches the Rfam family "Bacterial small subunit ribosomal RNA", at positions 29 to 507 of the family's 1533-position model. The record is from RNAcentral.
AACGAACGCUGGCGGCAUGCCUAACACAUGCAAGUCGAACGAGACCUUCGGGUCUAGUGGCGCACGGGUGCGUAACGCGUGGGAACCUGCCCUUAGGUUCGGAAUAACUCCCCGAAAGGGGUGCUAAUACCGGAUAAUGUCUUCGGACCAAAGAUUUUCCGCCUUUGGCUGGGGCCGCGUUGGAUUAGCUGGUUGGUAGGGUAAAAGCCUACCAAGGCGACGAUCCAUAGCUGGUCUGAUAGGAGGACCUGCCACACUGGGCCUGAGACACGGCCCAGACUGCUACGGGAGGGAGCAGUGGAGAAUAUUGGACAAGGGGCGAAAGUCUGAUCCAGCAAUGCCGCGUGAGUGAUGAAGGCCUUAGUGUUGUAAAGCUCUUUUACCCGGGAUGAUAAUGACAGUACCGGGAGAAUAAGCUCCGGCUAACUCCGUG